AGUGAACGCUGGCGGUAGGCCUAACACAUGCAAGUCGAACGGCAGCACAGUAAGAGCUUGCUCUUACGGGUGGCGAGUGGCGGACGGGUGAGGAAUACAUCGGAAUCUACUUUUUCGUGGGGGAUAACGUAGGGAAACUUACGCUAAUACCGCAUACGACCUACGGGUGAAAGCAGGGGAUCUUCGUACCUUGCGCGAUUGAAUGAGCCGAUGUCGGAUUAGCUAGUUGGCGGGGUAAAGGCCCACCAAGGCGACGAUCCGUAGCUGGUCUGAGAGGAUGAUCAGCAACACUGGAACUGAGACACGGUCCAGACUCCUACGGGAGGCAGCAGUGGGGAAUAUUGGACAAUGGGCGCAAGCCUGAUCCAGCCAUACCGCGUGGGUGAAGAAGGCCUUCGGGUUGUAAAGCCCUUUUGUUGGGAAAGAAAAGCAGCAGGUUAAUACCCCGCUGUUCUGACGGUACCAAAAGAAUAAGCACCGGCUAACUUCGUG
This 492-nucleotide ribosomal RNA is filed under the name uncultured bacterium. Its description in RNAcentral is "partial 16S ribosomal RNA". It matches the Rfam family "Bacterial small subunit ribosomal RNA", at positions 29 to 507 of the family's 1533-position model. The record is from RNAcentral.